Molecule: transfer RNA, 67 nt
Filed under: Aldisa cooperi
Lineage: Eukaryota; Metazoa; Mollusca; Gastropoda; Nudibranchia; Dorididae
Description: tRNA-Met
Source: RNAcentral
AAAUAGAUAAGCUAAAUUUUAAAGCUUUUGGGCUCAUAACCCAACAAUGGAUUAUCUCCUCUAUUUA